Molecule: ribosomal RNA, 360 nt
Filed under: uncultured eukaryote
Lineage: Eukaryota
Description: partial 18S ribosomal RNA
Rfam family: Eukaryotic small subunit ribosomal RNA
Source: RNAcentral
CAAUAGCAUAUAUUAACGUUGUUGCAGUUGAAAAGCUCGUAGUUGAACUUUUGGUAGGAGCGACCUGGCCUUGGGCGCAUGCCCUUGUUUGCCGUGUGUCGUAUCUGGCCAUCCUUUUCCGUUUCGGCGGGAAUCUUUUACUGUGAGUAAACUGGAGUGCUCAAAACAAGACGUUUGUUUGGUACAUUAAAGCAUGGAAUAAUAAGAUAGGACCUGGUUACUAUUUUGUUGGUUUGCAUAGCUAGGUAAUGAUUAACAGGGACAGUUGGGGGUAUUCGUAUUUAAUUGUCAGAGGUGAAAUUCUUGGAUUUAUGAAAGACGAACGACUGCGAAAGCAUUUACCAAGGAUGUUUNCAUUAA